AUUUUCCCAUAAGCUCCUGUGGUUCAUCUGGCAUUGCUGGCUGGAGGCUCGAGGCUGGAGGAGGAAUGAGCAGGCUGCACUGAUUGUCCUAGGGUGGGUGGGGAGCACACCUGGCUGGCAAAAAGAGGAGAGCAGCCAUACAGCCCUUUGCACUUGUGUCUUGUGUCCGUCAGCGCUAGGAAAGAGUUUGGACAAGAGCUCCUGUGGCAUUAUGACAAAUACUGUGUAGCAGCUGAGGCAGAGGGAAUUGGAGAGUGAAGCUGCGAGCAGGUAGAUUAAUCCAUCCAAAGGGCAUGCGGCGGCUUGGCUGGAGACAUGAUGUGAAUGCAGAAGAACAGAUUUGCUUCUUGCUUCUGAGUGGGAAUACAAAUAAGGAAAUCAAAUCCUAUUGCUUCUUCCUCUCUGGGCCUGCUGCAGGAUCCAGCACGCUGCUCCCCAGGUGUGGGGCAGGCCCAGCAGCAGCUAGGACUGCUGCCCAGAGGUCAGCUCUGUCCUACACCCUCUGAAGCAGUAAGUUUAUUGAAAUUUGCCCUGCCAAUCCAUAUCUGGAAACAGAAAACUGUAGAAGCCAAAGGGAAACAAUCAAGACGCUGAAAACGUUAAACCACGGGAGCAGACCAGCUGAAGGUGAUAGCAAAUUCUCCUCCACUUCAAGUUUUUGGGAUGAAAUUGAACUCCUCCUGCAAGUACAAUGACCCUGCUCUUGAGAAAACUGUGAGUUUGAAGCGAAGCAAAGAUUUCAAGUUAUUACAAGAAGCAGAACUCAUGGAUCUCUUCUUGACUGUCUGCAAGAUGUUGCCUGAAAGUUGAGAAGGGCUCUCACUCUGUGGAAGAAGAAAUGUUGGACAAUUCCAUAGAAGGAGAAAAUGAAUAAUGAUAUAGAGGCUGUGAUUUAAGGAAAGUUUGCCUUUAUCCUAUCUUUGUUUACCUGUUUAAAACUAAAUGAAUAUGAACUUCAGUAAUG
This 964-nucleotide long non-coding RNA is filed under the name Gallus gallus (chicken). Lineage: Eukaryota; Metazoa; Chordata; Aves; Galliformes; Phasianidae. The record is from RNAcentral.